RNAcentral lists this unclassified non-coding RNA (253 nucleotides) under uncultured delta proteobacterium. RNAcentral describes it as "contains 16S-23S intergenic spacer region". It matches the Rfam family "Bacterial small subunit ribosomal RNA", at positions 524 to 776 of the family's 1533-position model. The record is from RNAcentral. Lineage: Bacteria; Deltaproteobacteria.
UACGGAGGGUGCAAGCGUUGUUCGGAAUUACUGGGCGUAAAGCGCGUGUAGGCGGCCUGGUUAGUCGGAUGUGAAAGCCCACGGCUCAACCGUGGAAGUGCAUUCGAUACUGCCAGGCUUGAGUGCUGGAGAGGGAAGGGGAAUUCCCGGUGUAGAGGUGAAAUUCGUAGAUAUCGGGAGGAACACCGGCGGCGAAGGCGCCUUCCUGGACAGACACUGACGCUGAGACGCGAAAGCGUGGGGAGCAAACAGG